This is a long non-coding RNA of Clupea harengus (Atlantic herring), 2042 nucleotides long. The record is from Ensembl. Lineage: Eukaryota; Metazoa; Chordata; Actinopteri; Clupeiformes; Clupeidae.
UAUUAGCGGCCCCUCUGCGUCCGCGGCCCUGGAUGCUCUCAGGGAGAUACGGCUGGACAGGCUGACCCCUGAUCAGUGGCAGCAGGCUAACCUCACCACAGCUCUGUUCAAGGACAGCCUCGCGCCGCUCCUGCCCUCCGCCUCGCCAGACUUCCUGCGCUGCCUCGCCAAAGACCUCAGCUGUGGGACGUACCAGCACAUGGUGACUGUGUUCAGCCAUGGCUUCGAUCUCAUGGAUGAGGGACGCAGAGAGACUGUUCUGAACGAUUUCAUCAUGGUCUACCUGUCCAACACCUCAGCAUGCUUCUCCAAUGACAGUGUGGAAUGGCUGCAGAACAACCUCGGGCGAUUCUCAGGCCUUUUGAGCCUCGGUGACCUGUUCCAACUCAACGCACACUUCCGUCCACUGUCAGCACUGGAGUUCCUGUCUCCACGUCAGACGGCGGAGCUGAUGGUCCGUCGCUUCCCUGGCCUCCCGGGGCAGGUCGAGGUCAUCAACGUCGUCUUUGACCGCUUGACCUCAAAUGGACAGAAGCUUACGGAGGUCCUUCACCACCUGGUCGCACUCUCCAAACAGGUCAUGAUACCUUGCGACAGCUAUGAAGCCCUCUUUGAGAGGCUUUAUAAGGUCUUGCCCUACGAGCCUCGGAGAUCGAGCCUCUCAUUUGGGCCACGAUAGACGACCUGAUGCAAACAUCACCCAGAGACUGCCUGCCAGUGGACCUGACCUGUCCAAUCACACCAUUUAAUGACUCUCGAGUAUGUGAAGGCAUUGACAGCUCUGUGCUCCAGAGCCACCUGGGGGCUGGGGGUGGAAUGAUAAUGUGCAACUUCAGUGUGGAACAGUAUGCCUGUGCUCAUCUGGGAGAUUUCACUGCGGCAGACCUUGUCUCACUGUUGCAAUGCAAGCUGUCCAGCAACAUGGCCUACUCUAAGGAGACGUGGAAGGUGCUUCUCACCAAAACCUCUGCAGUCCUGGAUGAAGCACUUGGCAUCCUAUCGAACAUGUCUGUGACCUUCAGCGGUCCGUCGGUUCCUCUGGUUCUGGACGUGAUCAGGGAGAUGCGCUUCGACCUGCUCGAUCAGCAGCAGCUGCAGGACGUGGACGUCGUCUCGGCCUGGUUCGCGGGCCACCUGAGGCCCUUCCUCUCCUCCGCCUCAGGGGUCUUCCUGCACUGUGUCAGCAGCAGGGAGCUCAGUUGCGCCACCUACCAGCACGUGCUGGAUCAGUUCAGUCACAUGGGCGACAGCCAUGGCAUGAUGGUGCUGAAAUAUUUCAUCCGGCCCUUCCUGUCCAAAAACUCAACAGAACCGGCGUGCGCCUCGAAUAACAGUGCGGAGUGGCUGAAGGAGAACUUUGGGCCGUUCUCAGUGUUCGUCUCCAUCCCCGAGCUGGUCUCCCUCAACCCACAGUUCAACCCGCUGGCCGUGGUGGAGGUCCUGACCCCUCAGCAGACGGCCGAGCUGAUGGUGCUGAACGUGCCCGGGCUCCCCGACCGAGAGCAGCUCAUCAACAGCGUCUUUGACUACCUGCUCACCUCACCUGUGGAGAACCGCCUGCCUCAGGUCCUGGAGAGCGUCGCUUCCCUCGCAGCCACGGUCCCCCUGGAUUGUAGAUUGUACCAGACCAUUUUCAAGAGACUAAAUGACAUUCUGACAUCAUCACCUGGCGCCCUGGAACCAGUUAUCUGGACGAGCAUUUAUGACCUCACAUCAACAGCUCCAGCAGAUUGCGCUCUGUUCAUGGUGAAUCUCCAGGUAAGCUUCAUUAGUUAAUUAGUCUGUGCUUUACAGUUGGAUCCUUUUGUCCAAAUCUUAUUUUAUAUCUGAAUACAGUUUGAUAAAGGUGACAUAAAGGUGACAUACAGGUGACAUACAAGGUGACAUACAGGUGACAAACAGGUGUUUUUGUGUUCCUUUUAGUGCCCUAUUACUUCACACAAUGGUAAGACCGAUUACAUCAUCGACACCAAAGUCUAAAUAUGAUGCACUUUUUAUUAUGUUUCUGAAAACAGGAAAAGUAGAUUUGUUUGUUUGUUUGC